GGGCCUGUAGCUCAAUUGGUUAGAGCUGGCCGCUCAUAACGGCUAGGUUGGGGGUUCGAGUCCCUCCGGGCCCACCA
Molecule: transfer RNA, 77 nt
Filed under: Sphingopyxis sp.
Lineage: Bacteria; Pseudomonadati; Pseudomonadota; Alphaproteobacteria; Sphingomonadales; Sphingopyxidaceae
Also listed under: 2 other names
Description: tRNA-Ile
Rfam family: tRNA
About the family: Transfer RNA (tRNA) molecules are approximately 80 nucleotides in length.
Source: RNAcentral